GGCCGCUUGGCGUAAUGGUAACGCGUCUGACUUCGAUUGUCUACGGUAUCAGAAGACUAUAGGUUCGAGUCCUGUAGUGGUCG
Non-coding RNA from Phellopilus nigrolimitatus, 83 nucleotides. The record is from the annotation of a GenBank genome assembly. NCBI's taxonomy places the organism in Eukaryota, Fungi, Basidiomycota, Agaricomycetes, Hymenochaetales, Hymenochaetaceae.